AAAUGCAUAGGGAAUAAUGGCCUUUCUUCUCUAGGUGUCUGUCAGAAGGACUCUUCCAGACAUCCAAACCAUCCCCAAACAGCCCACUGGGGGCCCGAAAGCAAGGAGCGGCAACUUCCGGAGGGGAGCUGAGGCUGUUGCUUCAGGAUACAAAAUGACAGCAGUCGUCUUUAGUCCUAGCAAGAAUGUCAUGAAUGUGGAUGAGGUCCAAAGGAAGGGCUAUGCAAUAGCCAACACUCCCACACGGCUGGUGUUAAGAAGCCCUCAUAAUGCAGAGGAGACAUACCUCCAGAAUGUAGCUGGGGUUCCGAUGCGGGUGCUCUCAACCUCAACCUUCUUUGAGCAGAAGUGGCUGGUUACUCGAGUAGAUGCCACGGCUGUUUGUCCAACACCAGAGGCAGUGGCCUUUACUCCAGAAGUGAUCACCUGGUACAUGCCCAAGCACA
This is a long non-coding RNA of Oncorhynchus kisutch (coho salmon), 446 nucleotides long. RefSeq lists it as uncharacterized. The transcript has 4 exons. NCBI's taxonomy places the organism in Eukaryota, Metazoa, Chordata, Actinopteri, Salmoniformes, Salmonidae. The record is from RefSeq and is a predicted model, not a curated record.